RNAcentral lists this ribosomal RNA (480 nucleotides) under Metasolibacillus meyeri. Its description in RNAcentral is "bacterial SSU rRNA". It matches the Rfam family "Bacterial small subunit ribosomal RNA", at positions 20 to 479 of the family's 1533-position model. The record is from RNAcentral. Lineage: Bacteria; Bacillati; Bacillota; Bacilli; Caryophanales; Caryophanaceae.
UGGCUCAGGACGAACGCUGGCGGCGUGCCUAAUACAUGCAAGUCGAGCGGGCGUUACUUUGGUGCUUGCACCGAAGUAACGCUAGCGGCGGACGGGUGAGUAACACGUGGGCAACCUACCUUGUAGAUGGGGAUAACUCCGGGAAACCGGUGCUAAUACCGAAUGAUACUUUUGAACACAUGUUUGAAAGUUGAAAGAUGGUUCUGCUAUCGCUACAGGAUGGGCCCGCGGCGCAUUAGCUAGUUGGUGAGGUAAUGGCUCACCAAGGCGACGAUGCGUAGCCGACCUGAGAGGGUGAUCGGCCACACUGGGACUGAGACACGGCCCAGACUCCUACGGGAGGCAGCAGUAGGGAAUCUUCCACAAUGGGCGAAAGCCUGAUGGAGCAACGCCGCGUGAGUGAAGAAGGUUUUCGGAUCGUAAAACUCUGUUGUAAGGGAAGAACAAGUACAGUAGUAACUGGCUGUACCUGACGGUACC